AACGAACGCUGGCGGCAUGCCUAACACAUGCAAGUCGAACGAGACCUUCGGGUCUAGUGGCGCACGGGUGCGUAACGCGUGGGAACCUGCCCUUAGGUUCGGAAUAACUCCCCGAAAGGGGUGCUAAUACCGGAUAAUGUCUUCGGACCAAAGAUUUAUCGCCUUUGGAUGGGCCCGCGUUGGAUUAGCUAGUUGGUAGGGUAAAAGCCUACCAAGGCGACGAUCCAUAGCUGGUCUGAGAGGAUGAUCAGCCACACUGGGACUGAGACACGGCCCAGACUCCUACGGAGGCAGCAGUGGGGAAUAUUGGACAAUGGGCGAAAGCCUGAUCCAGCAAUGCCGCGUGAGUGAUGAAGGCCUUAGGGUUGUAAAGCUCUUUUACCCGAGAUGAUAAUGACAGUACCGGGAGAAUAAGCUCCGGCUAACUCCGU
RNAcentral lists this ribosomal RNA (431 nucleotides) under uncultured bacterium. RNAcentral's name for it is "partial 16S ribosomal RNA". It matches the Rfam family "Bacterial small subunit ribosomal RNA", at positions 29 to 506 of the family's 1533-position model. The record is from RNAcentral.